Molecule: long non-coding RNA, 580 nt
Filed under: Medicago truncatula (barrel medic)
Lineage: Eukaryota; Viridiplantae; Streptophyta; Magnoliopsida; Fabales; Fabaceae
Description: lncRNA gene36590
Source: RNAcentral
CCUCAAAGAAAUAUAUUAUUAAAAAAAAAAUUGGAGGGACUAUGCCAAAACUCAAAGAAACAAAUAUUAUAGAAAAUUGCCUCGUUAAAAACCUUCACAAGAAAACCCAAUCGAAUAAAACUUGGUGAAGGAAAAAAGAGUGCAGCGUAUACACAUAAAAUUAAAUUUAACAGCUAGAUAAAUAUAAUUUUUAUUUUUAAAUAGAGAAUAAAAGUUGAAAUAUUGUGAUGUCCCUUAGUUUCAAUUGUGCAAUUUUGGCCCUUCACCAAAAUAUAACCAACAAUGACCAUCAACACACCGUGUAUAAUGAGGUUCAAUCGCCUUUGGACAAUCGGCGUCAGACUUGCAACCAAUAUUAUAGGAUGUUACUACAUUGUCAAAUAAAGAAAAAAAAUGUUACUAAAAUAAGAUAAAAUAAGAUGUACAAAAAUAUUAGAAAAAUAAAAAAAAAAUGGUGGGAAAAAUGAAUACGCAUUGUGGUUCUAGUCCUCUCUAAUGCCGCUUCUCCAAGAAAUAGAGAAAGAAAGAUAAUCAAAGAAUAAAUAAACAGAAGAAAUUGAGUCAUAUUUUUCAUCCUUUA